This 298-nucleotide long non-coding RNA is filed under the name Gossypium barbadense (sea-island cotton). Its description in RNAcentral is "long non-coding RNA (GBAR_LNC005500)". Lineage: Eukaryota; Viridiplantae; Streptophyta; Magnoliopsida; Malvales; Malvaceae. The record is from RNAcentral.
AUUAAUGAAAUUUGUUUGUUGUGUGGUGUAAUGUGAUGGUGCAAAAGAACUUUAUAGAGCAAAAGGAAAUGGAGAAAGAGAGUUGCUUAGGGGUGAAGGUGAUGGCGGGGGUUGGUGACACGUGGGAUUUGGUGGACCGUUGACAGUGGAGUGAUUGAAUGAUCUGUAAAGAGAAGGGUAAAGAGUUUCAUGUUGUACUAUAUUAAGUAUUAAGGAACUGUAACUUAGUUAACCACUUGCAUGCACGCGUUGGCUCCGCCAUAUCUAUGAAAAUGACAUAUCGCCUCGAGGUUCAGUC